GCCGCGUUGGCUCAAUGGUAGAGCGUCGCCCUCCUAAAGUCUGAUUAAAUAAUCAGAUUUGAAGCAGGCGAAGGCUGCGAGUUCGAGUCUCGUGCGUGGUA
RNAcentral lists this transfer RNA (101 nucleotides) under Rhizoctonia solani 123E. It matches the Rfam family "tRNA". From Rfam's summary of the family: Transfer RNA (tRNA) molecules are approximately 80 nucleotides in length. Their secondary structure includes four short double-helical elements and three loops (D, anti-codon, and T loops). Lineage: Eukaryota; Fungi; Basidiomycota; Agaricomycetes; Cantharellales; Ceratobasidiaceae. The record is from Rfam by way of RNAcentral.